Molecule: ribosomal RNA, 446 nt
Filed under: uncultured bacterium
Lineage: Bacteria
Description: SSU rRNA
Rfam family: Bacterial small subunit ribosomal RNA
Source: RNAcentral
AGAACGAACGCUGGCGGCAUGCCUAACACAUGCAAGUCGAACGAGACCUUCGGGUCUAGUGGCGCACGGGUGCGUAACGCGUGGGAAUCUGCCCCUCGGUUCGGAAUAACAGUUAGAAAUGACUGCUAAUACCGGAUGAUGACGAAAGUCCAAAGAUUUAUCGCCGAGGGAUGAGCCCGCGUAGGAUUAGGUAGUUGGUGGGGUAAUGGCCUACCAAGCCGACGAUCCUUAGCUGGUCUGAGAGGAUGAUCGGCCACACUGGGACUGAGACACGGCCCAGACUCCUACGGGAGGCAGCAGUGGGGAAUAUUGGACAAUGGGCGAAAGCCUGAUCCAGCAAUGCCGCGUGAGUGAUGAAGGCCUUAGGGUUGUAAAGCUCUUUUACCAGGGAUGAUAAUGACAGUACCUGGAGAAUAAGCUCCGGCUAACUCCGCGCCAGCAGCCGC